CUCAUGAUGAGAACCUGCUGUGUAUCCCGUACACAAGGCUCUUACGGAUGGACUUCAACUCAUGGCAUCCGUCUUCAUUCAUAGGAAACUGAACCAUUGCACAAAGCCAGACAAGGAAAGGACCUGAUACUCCACCCAGUUUAUAUUCUCAAACAGAGACAGCAACCAGACACCUGUCACUCUGCCCGUUCUCAGAAAGCUGAGUGACAAGCCUUUCCAAAAACUAGCUUAAUAAUAGGUUAACAUGUGUCAUACCAAUCUAACCAAUAAAUGUUGUUUACAUUGCAAACCAAUUUAAGCCACAAAGUAUCUCCUCUCCUCUCCUGAUUUAGA
Long non-coding RNA from Diceros bicornis minor, 333 nucleotides. RefSeq lists it as uncharacterized. The record is from RefSeq and is a predicted model, not a curated record. Lineage: Eukaryota; Metazoa; Chordata; Mammalia; Perissodactyla; Rhinocerotidae. The transcript is spliced from 3 exons.